AGGUGAAUGAGGUGGGGGAGGGAGUCAGAUGUGUGUCCGUCUAAGAACAGCCUUCCUGAAGGCAGGCAUGUGCAAAGGUCCUGAGGUGGCCAUCCCUGGCUCUUCCACCGGCACGGAGUCUUCCCUCCUCAGCAGUGAGGCCCGUUUCUCUCUGCCACUCUGCUCUGUGUUCACGCGGUGGUUCUGUUCUCUCAUACCUUGGUGUUUAUUUUGCCCCCUCAGGAGACACUGUCUGGGUCAUUUUUUCUUGGGAAACUUCCCAUUGUCCAUCCAAGGGGAUCUUGAUAACCGUUGACUUACCAGCCAGUUGGGAGGUUUUUGCUGCCCUGUGGACAGAUUCCUGCCCCAGGGCAGAACGUGGAAAGCACCCUCUCUUCUCUUUGCAGACGCCGGCUGGGCCCCCACGUCUGCCUCUCGGGGUUCGGGAGUGGCUGCUGCCCUGGCUGGGCGCCCUCCAUGGCCAGCGGGCACUGUACCCUGCGUAAGUGCCCGACCCUCUGCCCUAAGUCUCCUCCAGCGGCAGUGUGUGUGGCCAGUGCCCAGUCCCUGGGCUGGCCCAAGGGGCAGAUGGGGGGCCCCAGCCCCCACACCCUCAUGUGCGUUUCUCCUCUCAGCCCUCUGCUCCUUUGGCUGUGGGAGCGGCAUCUGCGUUGCUCCCAACGUCUGCUCGUGCCAGGAUGGAGAGCAAGGUGCCACCUGCCCAGAUGAGCAAACUGAGGCACAGAAGUUAAGUGACUUGCCCGGGGCGUGUUUGCCUCCAGAGCCAUCCCUCCAACAGAAUUUAGGUGUGCUACCUGUUUUGGCAGCCCACGGUUCCUGUGGGGAGUACGGCUGUGACCUUACCUGCAACCAUGGCGGCUGUCAGAGGUGGCCCGAGUGUGCCCCGUGGGCUUCUCGAUGACAGAGACAGCUGUUGGCAUCAGGUGUACAGGUGAGAGGCCCGGUGGGGGUGGGCGCCAAGAGCAGUUGUUCUGUCUCCUCCUCC
Molecule: long non-coding RNA, 985 nt
Filed under: Dasypus novemcinctus (nine-banded armadillo)
Lineage: Eukaryota; Metazoa; Chordata; Mammalia; Cingulata; Dasypodidae
Description: lncRNA (ENSDNOG00000052229.1)
Source: RNAcentral